RNAcentral lists this ribosomal RNA (253 nucleotides) under uncultured bacterium. Its description in RNAcentral is "partial 16S ribosomal RNA". It matches the Rfam family "Bacterial small subunit ribosomal RNA", at positions 524 to 776 of the family's 1533-position model. The record is from RNAcentral.
GACAGAGGGUGCAAACGUUGCUCGGAAUUACUGGGCGUAAAGCGCGUGUAGGCGGUCACGCAAGUCAGGUGUGAAAGCCCAGGGCUCAACCCUGGAAGUGCACAUGAUACUACGUGGCUGGAGUACUGAAGAGGAGAGCGGAAUUCCCGGUGUAGAGGUGAAAUUCGUAGAUAUUGGGAGGAACACCUGUGGCGAAAGCGGCGCACUGGACCACAACUGACGCUGAGGCGCGAAAGCUAGGGGAGCAAACAGG